Molecule: long non-coding RNA, 283 nt
Filed under: Carica papaya (papaya)
Lineage: Eukaryota; Viridiplantae; Streptophyta; Magnoliopsida; Brassicales; Caricaceae
Description: long non-coding RNA (CPAP_LNC009670)
Source: RNAcentral
UUACGGGGUCAGGCAAUCAUUUUUUAAACUGUUGCAGUUGUUGUUGAGCACGAACUUGAGUAAAGGACUGGUGCUUAGCCGAGAUAAGAUCUUUGACCAAUUGAGCAUAUUCAAGUACCUCUGUAUACGAGUUGGGUCUCAGCAUUGCAACUCGAUCAUAAAUAUCAGCAUAAAGGCCUUUGAGAAAUUUUUUAACUUUUCGGCUUUCAGGUGUGACCAUUAAAGGGGCAAACCCAGACAGUUGAACAAAUCAGGCUGCAUAUUGGGCUAUAGACAAGCUUCA